This 253-nucleotide ribosomal RNA is filed under the name uncultured bacterium. RNAcentral's name for it is "partial 16S ribosomal RNA". It matches the Rfam family "Bacterial small subunit ribosomal RNA", at positions 524 to 776 of the family's 1533-position model. The record is from RNAcentral.
UACGUAGGGUGCGAGCGUUGUCCGGAAUUAUUGGGCGUAAAGGGCUCGUAGGCGGUUUGUCGCGUCGGGAGUGAAAUCCACUGGCUUAACUGGUGGCUUGCUUUCGAUACGGGCAGACUGGAGGUAUGCAGGGGAGAACGGAAUUCCUGGUGUAGCGGUGAAAUGCGCAGAUAUCAGGAGGAACACCAAUUGCGAAGGCAGCUCGCUGGAACGUAACUGACGCUGAGACGCGAAAGCGUGGGGAGCAAACAGG